GCUCCGUCCGACUUAACUGAAAUUAACCGCACAAUAACCUUACAUUUCGGUCGUUUAGUCACAAAUGAUUGCAAAUGUAUUUCCUGAAAGGUUCUGUGUUCUGUUAUCGAUUCCGAUCUCUACUAAUCUUACUUAAUGCUUGUCUUUUGUCAAUUGUCAUUACGAAGCAAGAUAUAAUGUUAUACUUAUAGAUUGCUUGAUGUAACCCUAGGAUUCGAAUAUAAAUUAGUUUCAACUGUUCACUGUGUUAUACUUCUGUCUUGUAAAUAAGUACAAAUGCCUCAUAGCUUGUGGUUUUUCUAAUUUAAG
Molecule: long non-coding RNA, 309 nt
Filed under: Mytilus galloprovincialis (Mediterranean mussel)
Lineage: Eukaryota; Metazoa; Mollusca; Bivalvia; Mytilida; Mytilidae
Source: RNAcentral